Long non-coding RNA from Tympanuchus pallidicinctus (lesser prairie-chicken), 218 nucleotides. RefSeq lists it as uncharacterized. NCBI's taxonomy places the organism in Eukaryota, Metazoa, Chordata, Aves, Galliformes, Phasianidae. The record is from RefSeq and is a predicted model, not a curated record. The transcript has 3 exons.
AGUGGGGUAGGAAGGCCCUCCAAGACGAUAGAGUUGAGGGGUGGAGGUUGGAUGGUCCUCCAAGGUCAUAGAGAUGGAAGGGAGUGGGGUUGGAGGGUCCUCCAAGGUCAUAGAGAUGGAGGGGAGAGGUGUAUGAGGGUCCUCCAAGAUCAUAGAGUUGAGGGGUGGAGGUUGGAGGGUCCUCCAAGGUCAUAGAGAUGGAAGGGAGAGGUGUAUGA